CUCUUGACAGAGCUCAAAGGGAGGACGCUUUAAGAUUCCGUGUUGCCAAGGCCAGUGAAGUCAGUGAAAUAGAGAAGGAAUUAUCAGUUGAGAUUUCUGCACUAGAGAAACAGAGAGAUGAACUUGAAGCUCAAUUGAAGCAGGU
Molecule: long non-coding RNA, 145 nt
Organism: Ipomoea triloba (trilobed morning glory)
Lineage: Eukaryota; Viridiplantae; Streptophyta; Magnoliopsida; Solanales; Convolvulaceae
Exons: 2
Source: RefSeq, a predicted model, not a curated record